GACGAACGCUGGCGGCGUGCUUAACACAUGCAAGUCGAACGGAAAGGCCCUGCUUUUGGGGGGUGCUCGAGUGGCGAACGGGUGAGUAACACGUGAGUAACCCGCCCUUGACUUUGGGAUAACUUCAGGAAACUGGGGCUAAUACCGGAUAGGAGCUCCUGCUGCAUGGUGGGGGUUGGAAAGUUUCGGCGGUUGGGGAUGGACUCGCGGCUUAUCAGCUUGUUGGUGGGGUAGUGGCUUACCAAGGCUUUGACGGGUAGCCGGCCUGAGAGGGUGACCGGCCACAUUGGGACUGAGAUACGGCCCAGACUCCUACGGGAGGCAGCAGUGGGGAAUAUUGCACAAUGGGCGGAAGCCUGGUGCAGCAACGCCGCGUGCGGGGUGACGGCCUUCGGGUUGUAAACCGCUUUCGCCUGUGACGAAGCGUGAGUGACGGUAAUGGGUAAAGAAGCACCGGCUAACUACGUGCCAGCAGCCGCGGUGAUACGUAGGGUGCGAGCGUUGUCCGGAUUUAUUGGGCGUAAAGGGCUCGUAGGUGGUUGAUCGCGUCGGAAGUGUAAUCUUGGGGCUUAACCCUGAGCGUGCUUUCGAUACGGGUUGACUUGAGGAAGGUAGGGGAGAAUGGAAUUCCUGGUGGAGCGGUGGAAUGCGCAGAUAUCAGGAGGAACACCAGUGGCGAAGGCGGUUCUCUGGGCCUUUCCUGACGCUGAGGAGCGAAAGCGUGGGGAGCGAACGGGCUUAGAUACCCUGGUAGUCCACGCUGUAAACGGUGGGUACUAGGUGUGGGGUCCAUUCCACGGGUUCCGUGCCGUAGCUAACGCUUUAAGUACCCCGCCUGGGGAGUACGGCCGCAAGGCUAAAACUCAAAGGAAUUGACGGGGCCCCGCACAAGCGGCGGAGCAUGCGGACUAAUUCGAUGCAACGCGUAGAACCUUACCUGGGUUUGACAUGGAUCGGGAGUGCUCAGAGAUGGGUGUGCCUCUUUUGGGGUCGGUUCACAGGUGGUGCAUGCCUGUCGUCAGCUCGUGUCGUGAGAUGUUGGGUUAAGUCCCGCAACGAGCGCAACCCUUGUUCACUGUUGCCAGCACGUUAUGGUGGGGACUCAGUGGAGACCGCCGGGGUCAACUCGGAGGAAGGUGGGGAUGACGUCAAGUCCUCAUGCCCCUUAUGUCCAGGGCUUCACGCAUGCUACAAUGGCUGGUACAGAGAGUGGCGAGCCUGUGAGGGUGAGCGAAUCUCGGAAAGCCGGUCUCAGUUCGGAUCGGGGUCUGCAACUCGACCUCAUGAAGUCGGAGUCGCUAGUAAUCGCAGAUCAGCAACGCUGCGGUGAAUACGUUCCCGGGGCU
Molecule: ribosomal RNA, 1346 nt
Filed under: uncultured bacterium
Lineage: Bacteria
Description: bacterial SSU rRNA
Rfam family: Bacterial small subunit ribosomal RNA
Source: RNAcentral